AGUGCCCCCACUUAUCUAACUACCUAACAGUUCCACUAAGUAGAUGGACUGCUCUGAAAUAACUAGACUGCCAUUGUCAGAAACAUAAGUCUACCAAAGACUAAUGAAGUAAAGCCGGAUAGAGGUUGCAUAACUACAAAUAAGCCUGGAAUUCAAGAAACUUUCAGGGUAAAAAUAUAUUUGAAAACUUUCAACUGGGAAGAAGGAUCAAGAUGGCUGAUAAAGAGGACAAAUCAAAAAUACAUCUGUAAUGUGGAACAAUUCUCACUAAAGACCGAUUGGAAAAUGGCAGGAAGAUUCUUAUAGAAGCUAAGGCGGUAAGAAAGAUACACAGAAAAUCGAGUAGGAAGGGAAGAAAAAUGAUCUGGUCAAGACCUGUGACCCUGGGAAGGGUCUAAAGAAACGGAGGAUACGUGGGCAGACACCUACCUGGGGAGUGGAUGGUGAGAGCCAUAGAUUGGAUGCCCAAGUCCUGGGAUCCUACACAGGAGAGACUAGCCCCUGGUACUAACAGGAGGGUGGUGAGAAGCCUAGACUUCACUUGUGAGAAGUGAAGACACACUGGCUUGCCCCUUAGGAAGGGAGGAGAGAGGUCUGCUCUAGCGGCUGCCAGGUUUUCCUGGACAUCCUUGGUACAUGCCCCAGCCUGAGCCAAGAGAUCACCCAGCCCUGCUCAUGCCUUGUCACAGUGCAGCACUGUAUCUGGGGUGGGGUGGGGUGGUGGUAGCCACUGUUGAUACUUACUCAAGCAGCAUAUUUGCUCCAGCAACUGGAGAUCAGACCCCACCCCCAAUAGGACAGUGAUGGCUACUAAGCAGAGGGGCAGUCCAGACUCACACAUCAUUCUAGCUCUAACACUAAAGGCAUUGGACACACAAUCUGUACAGGACCCUCCCACAUACGAACACCUCUUCAAGACCACAAUAGGUGGCUGUUCACCUAAACGCAUAGAGGCAGGGCAAGUUAAGCAAAAUGAA
Molecule: long non-coding RNA, 977 nt
Organism: Camelus dromedarius (Arabian camel)
Lineage: Eukaryota; Metazoa; Chordata; Mammalia; Artiodactyla; Camelidae
Exons: 3
Source: RefSeq, a predicted model, not a curated record